Small nuclear RNA from Cercocebus atys (sooty mangabey), 106 nucleotides. The record is from Ensembl. NCBI's taxonomy places the organism in Eukaryota, Metazoa, Chordata, Mammalia, Primates, Cercopithecidae.
AUGCUUGCUUUGGCAGCACAUGUAUUAAAAUUGGAACGCUACAGAGACAAUUAGCAUGGCCUUGUGCAAAGAUGACAUGCAAAUUUGUGAAGCAUCACAUUAAAAA